GCGAUGUGGUGGAGUGGAAAAGACUUUUAAUUGGUGGUAACACAACAAAGGAAAUAGAAUACCCCUCCUUGGAAGAGGGAGGAGCCUGCAGUGACAGGCACCAUGCAAGAAAGAGCCCAGUUCUGAGACUGAGACAUCUGGGCCAUGGUCCUGGCUCCAUGACUACCACAGCAUGCCUGUGGGCAGCCCAUUCAGCCUCUCUGACCACUAUUACAUCUUUGUAAAAUUCGGUGCCCAUCUUUGCAGAGUUGUUAGGAUUAUAUAGGGGAGUGGAUUUAAAGUAUCUAGCAAAAUGCCUGGCACCAAAGUAAAUGCACAUUUAAUAAAAGCUGCUAUUGAUGUUAUUAGCAGUACAGCUUAAAAUUGUCUAGGACCUUGGAAAGCCACAGGAUUAGAAAAAUAAAAAUAAGAUGGUGAUAUUUUAAAAACAAGCCAAUCAUAUACUAAAGGAAUAUGAGGAAAAAGGAUAGAGAAUAGCAUAGGAAACUUAUUUUUAGUAGUAUGCCCUUUAAAUAGACCUCCCUCUCUCCUUACCUGGAGAAGAAGCCAGCUUCCAAUAAAAAGCUUUUUUUGAAAAAUAUUUUCGAAGUUUCCUCUAACAAGACUUUGAAGGGGGGAUUUUUUUUUUUUUUUUUUGCUAACUCAUAUUUCUUCAGUUCCCACAUUAAAUGUCAUCUCCUUAGAAAGGCAUCCCUGAUGUUCCAAACUAAGGCUCCACCAACUUUUUCUAUAAAGGGACAGAGCAUAGAUAUUUUACUUGUAAAAUGUACUUUGCCAAUCUUCUAUGGUCUCUGUCACAUCAUAUUAUUAUUCCUAAAUUUACAACCCUUUAAAAAUGUUAAAAAAAAAAUUGGUCAUAGGUUUGUAGACCACAGUUUGUUGGUUCCUGUUCCAAAUUUCAGUCGUCCCUGAUAGUCUUUUGGCAGCAUACUAUUGCUUUUCCUUUGUAUCACAUGUCUCUAUUUGAUGUUAUAUAUUUAUUUGUUUGAUAUUUGCCAAACUCCUGUGACUGUAAACUCCUGGACGAAGGGACCAUGUUGAUUUUGCUUGAGGAGAGUUCGACACUGUGUCUCUAGCACAGAGAUGUACACAUAGUAGGUACUCCAUUAAUAUUUGUUCAAUAAAUAAAACAAUCUAAAAGUAAUUCCUAUUCACUGUAAGAAAAUCUGAGGAAUACCCCCCAAAAUGUAUAAAAGGUAAAGCAAUAAUCUAUUCAUCAUACCACCACUCAGAGACAGCUGUUGUCAGCAGGCUUUAUUUUUGUAUUUGUAUUGGUACGUGUAUAACUACAUACUGUAUUUACACGAUAGAAAUCUUUCUGUCUCGAAAGCUUCAUAGUCUAGCUUUUCACUUAAUAAACAACUCAGCAAAGAAUAUUUUAUGCAUAUGUCUUUGUUGGUGUUUCUAGUUAUUUGCUCAGAAUAGAUUCCAAGAAAUCGAAUCAUGAGAUCGAAGGAGAUCAACAAGUUUGUGGCUCUUGAGACACAAUGCCAAAUAUCCUUCUAGAGAGCUGGCAGAUAUCAGAAACCUCUUCUCAGCUUUAGAGAUGCUUUUCACACAGACAGAAGAUUUCCUCUCCACACCAGAGGCAGCAGGAUAAGAUGUACCAUCAGACCGCACUGGCUUACCGUGGUGACAAGAAAGAAGAGGCCCUGACUGGGUGAGCUUCUUUAUUUAGCAAUUAACCAAAGACAAAUAAACCACUUCUAACCUUUUUCUUGCUUGAAUAUGUAGAAAUUAAAUGCAUUCAUUAUCCUGAGAGGAUUAUGAGCUUCUUUUUCCUGCAGUGACUCAAAUAUUUAUUUGACUGUAUGCAUAUGCUUUGCAGGAAUAAAAAUCAGCAUCUUCCAACUAAACCAUUUCCAUUGCAUCUAUAAUAACAUCUCUAAAAAGUAAUUCCUGUCAUUUCCAUUCCAUUUAUUUAUUACUCAACCAAAUAUACCCCCCUUGAAGGGUAGUAUUCUCUUGGACUAGGGCAUGGGAUUCACAGUUCCUCAAAGUGGUAAAUGUGAUAAAUGUUUUAACAUAUAUGGGAAUCCCACAAAGAACUCUCACUUUGGUAUUAAAUCAUGGAGGAACAUCAGGGUAUCCAUCUGCACACCCUAUGAAAUAAGAUGCAUUGGGUAAGUCAGCCAGGUGCUUUGUUUAUGUGGCAUCUGGACGCUUGGAAACUUCUGGAUGAGUAAACACUUUCUUUUGGGUCGAAAAGGUUUGGCUUUAACAUGUCGUCUAGUGGAAACCAAUCUAGAAUCACCAUGUUCGACUUUUCUAGUCUUUUAUGGGUCCAGUAAACUCAAGUGAAGGAAUCUUCAGAAGUGGGUUAACUUGUCCAUUCUCUUGGUAGUUGGAAUUCUUUCCUAAAUGUCACAUAAGAUAUUUGGAUACAAAUGUGUAGAGGAGAAAUGAAGGGACAAAAGAAUUAACAUUUGUUGAUCUCCUGCCAUAUGUAAGACACUGUGAUAGAUCACAUGUAUAAUAAUUUCAAUUUGUCAUUCCAACCUGGUGAGGGAGGUAUUAAUGGCUUCAUUUAACAGAUGAGGAAACUGAGGUUAAGAGAUUUCCUCUCUGACCACAAUUAUUAAAGUAUAAGUAAACUUUCCCAAUCUCUGAUGAAAGAACCUAGGAUUAUAGUUGAGUGAGUCACCAAUGCCCCAAAUUAUGACAUAGCCCAUGAAGAAAGAUACACUAAUACUCUUCAAGGACAGCAGGGUUGGGGUGAGGCAUUUGUCACUCUGCCUGAGGAUGCAACAUUCUCACUUGCCCUGGCCCCUCAGCUCAGGGCGAGCCACAGCACAGCAGAAGAGCAGAACCGCCCCUCCUGGAAGUUCUAGGUUCUGAAUGUGUCCAAUAGGCCCAGAGGUGAGGGUCUACAGGCAGAUCAGGGAGUCUGAGAGACAGAAGCCCCUUGCUUCAGCAGCAUUGGAUUUAAGGACAGAGCCUUAAAUCAGGAAGAAGUUCUCUCUCCAACCAUAUACAGGGGAAACUAAAGACUUUGCCUGGCAACCUAGAGACUUUAUCAUCGCAGGAGAUGGAUAACCAAGAUGAAACCAUGAGACAACAUUCUGGGCCAAGCAGUGAGCAAUGAGGAGACCCAGACCCCAGGUUCCUGGCUGUGUCUUUGGCUAAAAAGAAGAGGCAUUAAGACAGAUUCCCUGAGGAUACUUCAAGAACCCUGAAAUUGCCUUGCUCACAUACCACCACACUAGAGAUGUUUCAGAAAAGCAGCUUCCCUUUUGGUGCCUCCAAUCCAGAAUGACUCCAGGUGAGACGGGUAAGAGGAGGUGUCACCUGGGCCAGUGGAGGUAUGACACCUCUGAUAGCUCUCCUGGGCACUGUGGGCAUCUCAGAUAGGAUCAUAACCCAAUGAGGCUCAGUGAUGCCUCUGCCAUUUCACUUAAGACCAAGUUGUGGUCAUUGCUAGAGGGUGGAAUAUUGUGUCUGAUGAGAUAUAGGAAUAGUCCAGGGGUCUCAUAAGAGGGCAAAAGCAGAUGCCAACAGGGCCCAGGCAGGUUAUACAAAUGGGUGAUACUUCCAGACAUCCCUAAUAGGGAGUGUGGGGACUGAGAAAUACAUGCCCGUCUAAAGGGAGCAGCCACCACCUAACUUCAGCCAACUGCUGUGUUACAGAAGAUAGACCCUAUUCCUACAGUUUCAAAAAGAACCAGAAAUCUAGAUUGCUAAAUAAAAUCUCUGAGUUUUAAAACACUACUAGCCAAACAGUAGUUUCACCUACUAUUUGAGAACCCUGUGUGACAGAGAUUUGUGCAGCCUUUAAUAGCAUGUUCAGAAAGUGAGUAUUCGUAUUUAAAAAAAUAAUAGGUAACUCCUGGGUCAGAUCUCUUCAUCCUAUGACGGUUACUCUUAUUCUGCUAUUCACCCUUUUAUCAAGUAUUAAGCAACCCCUGGAUACUGAUGUCCUAUGCUCUCUCCCACCUCAGAGUCUUCACACUGCUCUUUCCUCUAUCUAGAAUGUUCUUUGUUCAGAUCUUCGCAUGGCUGGCUCCUUCUCAUAUUUCAGGCGAAAUCUCAAAGAGGCCUUCCCUGACCAUCCAUCCUCAAUAGCCUCUCCCUCCAACAGGUGGAAUCGUAAAGAUCAGUUAGCAGGCCACCACAUGUAUUUCAAGUGAAUGACGCUGAUGACUUGGGCCAGGUUGGUAGGUAGAGGAAAGUGGUAAGAAGUGGCUGGAUUCUGGAUGCAUUUUAAAGGUGGCAUCCAGAGGAAAGGUGGUAAUGAAAGCAGACAACAAACACGAUCCCCAAAGAAGUGACUGGCAAUACACAAGAGAUUCAAGGACUGAGCACUGAGACAUUCCAACAUUUAAAGGCCAGGAAUAUGAAGAGAGACCAGUGAUGGAGAACAAGAAGGAGCAGCCAAUGGGCAGGUGGAAAACGAGGAGACAGAGGUAGCUUAGAUGUCCAAUAAAGAAAGCGCAUCAAGGAGGAGAGAGUGGCUAACCGUUAGAGUUGCUGUGAACAGGUGAAUAAGCUGAGGAUGAGAGCUGACUGCUGAACUGAGCAAGUGGAGGCCAAGAGUGAUCUAGACAAGAGCAGGUUUCUGAAGAGGCGAGGAUUAACUCCUGCUUAAAGAUGAAACGUCCUCACUCAUUCAUUCUACUGAAAGUGGGUUCAAGUGAGAACAGAAAGUGAGGAACUGGGUUCAGUGAAUUUUACUGGAAAGGGAAUAGAAAAGAUGUGUGUGGGAUCAAGACUGAAGAAAUGUGUAGUGUGCUGGUGGGAAUGAUUCCAUAGAGAGAUAAAUAUUGAUGAGGAGGAGUUACAAAAUGAUGAGAAAAAGGAUUACAAAAGUGAUGUUCUGGGGAGGUGAGAGGGGAUGGGAUACAGGGAGACCAGUGAGCCUCACACCUCCUCCACUGUCACAAGAAUACGGGGUCAGCACAGAGGCAGCGAGGAAGGUAGGUGUGAUAACAGGGGCUAUAGAAGUUCUUCUCCGGUUACUUCUGUUGUUCUCAGUUCAGGAGGAACUGAGUUUAUUAAUCUGAGAGUGAAGAUGAGGAAGAGAUGCUGGAAAUUGGAAAAUAGUGGAUAAGACACAAAAUAACCAUCAAGGAGAGUGUGAAGGGAUGAGGGAAAUGAAGGAUGAUGGCUGGCAGCACAAAGGAUCCUCUGGAGGCUCUGCAUCAUCAAUUUAGUGAGGCCAGUGGGCAACAUUGUAUGUUCUGUGUUCCUGACCACCCAGGUGCAGCAACGGGGUUUAGGGACAGAUGGAGGAAAAGUCGGAUGCAACCAGGGGUGGGGAACACAGCAGAGUAAGAGAGGUGCAAGGAAGCUGGUGAUGCGCACAGAAAGUGACUGUGAUUAUGGACAUGGACAUUAAGCUCAGUGAGGAAUGUGGUGAGAACAAGGGGGUAAUAAGAGGUUAAAAGUCUAAAGAUUGGAGAGGACUUUAAGGAAACGACAGACCAGGAUAAUGGAAAUCACUUAUUAAAAUCUCCAAGGACAAUAAUAGAGAGAUGGUUGGAAUGUGACCGUGAUGAACCUGGAACUAAAAUUCUCCAGGAAUGAGAGCACAUGGCCCAGUCAGUGGAUGACUGCAACAAGAAUGUGUAGUAAGUGAUGCUCUCUGAUGACAAGAGAUUCGAAUAUGAGAUCUUUUAGUGAGGAGAGAGGGAGAAUGGCCUGGAAAUGUCCAGGGGGAGCAAGAAAGAGCAAUGGUACAAGAGUGGAGGCUGUGACGGGGCCAAGAGCACUCAUCUGAGGCUGCAGGGCUAAUUAACAUCCUCAGAGGAGAAGGGGGAAACAUAGGGGAACGGAGGCAUGUACAGUGUCAUACGGGAAUGCAAAUGUGGAUGGUAAGGGGUGUCCUGGCAGACAUGAACCUCUCACGGUGAUUGACAUACAGGGAUAAAGAGCAUAAUGAAAUUAGUCCUGAUCUUGGUGGCAAGGCUGGUAGUACUGGGGAGAAAAAAUGCUGGGAAGCUUACCAAGAAUACAUUGAAUUCUAGAAUCUUCUUUACUCUUGCCAGUGGAAAAAUGGAGGUCAGAGAGAGCCAUCUUGGUUUUUUGGGGUUUUUUAGCCUUUUUCUUUAUUAAAAUGUUGGCUCCAUGACAGGACAGGAGGGACUAACACCUCUUGUUCAUCAGUAAACAAGCCCGUGAGUAAGUUGACUCUUUUAAGGAGCUACUGAAUAAAGUGAAAAGUUAAAAAUAUACAAAUACCAGCUCAUAUUUACUGGAUCCUUACUGUGUGCCAGGAACUGUGAUGAGCCCUUUAUGGGCUUUAUCUUAUUUAAUCCUCACAAUGCUUCUGUAGGCAGGUACUAAUAGUAUUUUAAUAUCACACAUUAAGAAACCAAGGUUAGGGAGGUUAAGUUACUUGUGUAAGAUGAUAGGGUUAGUGAUGUAGCCAAGAUAUGAAGUCAAACAGCCUAUCUUUAAAAACCUUGUGCCUGCAAUAGACUCUGUUGGUCAUGUUCCCAACAGCCCUUUUCCCUCUUCUUCCUUGCUAAGGGAACCCUGGCUUUUGUUCAGGUAUUAAACGUGUUCAGAGAGAUUGCCUCCUCAGACACACUCAACCCUAAGGGAUCAAUCAUAGUUCAUUCAACAAGGUCCUCUUCAUCCAAUUCUUCUUGCCAGUGAUUAAUCCAGGCAAGCCAUAAGACUUGGUGGACACCUGCCAGGUGAUUGGAAAGCCAUUAUCGGGGGACUUAGAUUAGAGCUAUGGUGGCUAUCUUGUGACCACCAUGGAAAGUAAAGAGAAUCGCAGACAUGCCAACCUCAUGCCCUGACAUCAGUGAGUCAUCGAACCAACUCUGGUACCACCUACUUUGAAAAUUCUUGAUCAAUAAAUAAUGAGUAUCUUUAUGAUUCAAAGCUAUUGUUACCAGAAGCCAAAUGCACCCUAUACACAUGCUGCCUUCUAAAAAAGAAACCAUACUAAUGAAAGACUCUAUCUGAUUGGUUUAAAUAAUCAUCCCUCACAAGCAAACAGCAAGACAACUUGGCACAGGGGGAAGAAUUCUGUGCCAAUAGUCAGGAGUCCCAGAUUCUGGUCUGAGAGUAUAUGACCUUGACCAAGUCACUUUCUCCUUGGGGCUCAGUUUCUUCAAGUCAGAAACGAAGGGCAUGCUAGGAGGUCUCCUUCCUUUCUUUCAUUUCUAAUAUUAGAUGGUACUAUAACUUUGUAAUUCAUGCCUUAUACCUUAUAAUCUGUUACCAUGUCUCCUUUCGAGCACAAGACUUCCUUUUCUAGGACCCACCGAGAGGUGAGGCAGAGAGGACAAGGCAAGGACAAAACUUCUUUGGACUAUUUUCUGCACAUCCCCAGCAGAGAUUGAUGAAUGCCUCUGAGUCAGCAAAAUCUCCAGUGGUGAAACAGAAAGCGUACACUCCACACAUUCAAGCAGCCAGGCCAGCCCACACGGAGAAGAGGAUGUUCACAUCCAGCCUGUUCAGUGGACCCCAUGGGGCAUUUCAAAGGCUAUUACAUUUCCAGGACCUUCUAUCACACCCCCUUUCUUCCAUCCCUGCUAAUAUUUGUGACUUUCCAGCUUUCUUCUCUGAAAUUAAAAUCAAACCUUUGCAAAGUGAAAAUCAGUUCAUCUGAGCUAGUGCUGGUUAAGAUUUACAAAAUAAAGAGGAAUUUUACACCCAC
RNAcentral lists this long non-coding RNA (7612 nucleotides) under Homo sapiens (human). Its description in RNAcentral is "HSALNT0224641". The record is from RNAcentral. Lineage: Eukaryota; Metazoa; Chordata; Mammalia; Primates; Hominidae.